UUAAUCAAAAGCAAGCCUCGCUAAGAUCAGUCAAUAUUUUCUCCCAAAUAAGCGUACCUAGGAUUACUGCCCAAUAUUGUUUGCAUAUACAAAAUAUGGCGUAUGCGGAAAAAGAGCGACGGAGUACAGCUUCCCAGUGGGGGAAUGGAGCCUACUGUUAGAGCGGUACUUGAAAGCAAUUCAUGGAUUUUCAAAUACCAUUUACCCAAACUGGGUAGACAAGAAAGCGGGACAAAGGCUGGGAAUGGCGGAAAGGCAUCCUGAAAGGCGAAGGUGGAUCUCUAGAUCUAGAACCGCUAGAGGGGAAAGGCUACCAACGGGACCAGCAGCAGCUGGUUUCGGCAUGAACGGAUCGGGACGGCUUGACGUCGCCUCCAGCGCUGCCCUCUCUGCUCUCUCUCGGCGAGAGGCUGCGACCUUCAGAGGGAAGCAGUGGCGAAUCCAAAGCAGGCGCAGAACGAAGCCAAGAGAGCGAGAACAGGCAAGCAGACCGAUCUCCUCUUGGCAGGACUCCUGGGGAAGCGAGGGCGGCCUGGAGGGUCCAGAAGCGGGCAUCAGACUCAGAAACCGGUCCUGCCUUCCCUAACGCCGGGAAAGUCCCUUGCUGAGAGCGAGGGAGCAGACGGACUCCCAUUCCCGGGAUUCCCUUCUGGGCAGUAAAAACUAAUCGUGAACAUUUUAUUACUCGUGGGCCCGCCUUCGUGGGAGGGCGCGAGGGGAGUUUUAUUUCAUCCUACGGCUGGGUGGGGGCACCCAAACGCUUCGCAGAUGUUUUCCGAGUUAAAAAAAACAACACAAUUAUUCCCACGAUUAUUCCACAGUAAUGCGCCAAUCAGUUCCAGCUCCGCUGAAAUUAAUACAGGCCUCUGCUAGUUUCCUGCCCCAGGUUAUUUUUUUAAAGAAAAGAACAGUGCUAAUAUAUUUUUUAAAAAAAUGAAAAUGUGACGUUUUUAAAUGGAUGAGGACCUGUUACUCGGAUGCAGUGCUAAGAGCGAACUACAAAGUCUUGGGCUUCAUUUUGAUCAAUGCAAAGGCCAUGUGCCCACAAGCAAGACAAAGAGGUGAACCUGUUUGUUAGUCUGUUGCAGCUGAAACUGCGGAGUCUUGCGGCACCUCCGAGGCUGACAAGGGUUUUCGGGCAGAAGCUUUCGAGGACUGCGGUCCAGUUCAGCAGAGGCACCUAAGGAAGCGGAUUGCAGUCCACGAAAUCUGCUCAGUAGAUCUUCCUAGUUUUGAAGGAGCUCCAAGACCUUUUAGUGUUCGGGCAAGCCGCAGCCUCCGUGAGCCCCAGCAAAAUCUCCCCACCACGCACGAAAUUAUCCCAGUUGCAGGCUGGUUGCAGGGAUUAAUGGAGACGGAAGUGAUCAUGUGCAGGGACUUUGAACUCUUGGAAUGGGCUCUAUAAAUAUUGAAUGUUAAGACCGCGAGCCAGAGGCAGUUUCAGGAUUUCCAGGCUCAGCAUAGAUUUGCGCUUAACGAUAGCCAGUGGCAUCACUUUAAUAGUAUUGUUUCCUUUGCCAUUAUUUAAGUUGCAAUUCUAGGCAACCUCAUCUAGAAAUAAGUCCCAUUAAAGUCGCUGGGACACUUGUCACUCUCUUCACCGUGCAAUCUGGCGUGCCUCUAGUCAGAAAUCAGCCUCCUUGAGUUCCAACUAAAUGGGCGCACGAUUGCAGAUAUGAAUAGCUCUAAUAUCCAGAUGGGAAUAUAUAGGCCUUUCCCCUAAAGGUAGGAUCCCAGAUACUCGCUGAAGUCAAUGAAGGUCUCGGUCUACGCAGAAACCAACGAGAAAACAGCAAGAACGUGUGAUCCCCACUACAUUAAGACUGCAGGAGAAACCAACUUCACUAAACCUCGUAGAACUUACUUUCAGUGCAGAAACGCGCAAGUGAGCGGUUACUGGUUCCAUUAUCACCCAUCGGGUUUUCUGUCAAGAAACGUUAGAAUCAACGGGAACAUUCAUGCAAGCAACAAAAGGCAAUACGUACAACAGGCUCAGCUUUGGCUCUAAGUCUAACCCUCCCAUAAUUCUAUACAGGUUUAACGAGACAUCUCACACCAGUGAAGUCGGAAUUCUCUACAGAUGUACGUACAAAGCUGCGAUUCUAUGAGUCUUUAUUGGGGAGUAAAGUUGCAAUCCUGUCCAGGAGUUCUCAGGGAACUCAGCGAAACUCCAACCCACCCACCCCCAAGUCUGCAUUUCAGUCCAUGCUUGAAGAUCAGCUGAAUCCUGUGGACUUGCUUUCCAGUAAGGACACUCGUUUAGGCUGUAUGUUUAGAACCUACGUCCCAGUAAGAACUAACAAUGUAGAAAAUAUAUUAGAAAUAUAUCUAUUGAGCAAUGCAAUCGCAUGUCUAGUCAGAAAUAAACCUCGUUUAAUUCAGUGGCCA
Pogona vitticeps (central bearded dragon) is the source of this 2388-nucleotide long non-coding RNA. NCBI's taxonomy places the organism in Eukaryota, Metazoa, Chordata, Lepidosauria, Squamata, Agamidae. The record is from Ensembl.